ACUCAAAUGAAUAGACGGGGACUUGCACAAGCAGUGGAUUAUGUGGUUCAAUUCGAUGGCAAACGAAGAACCUUACCAGGGUUAGAAAUCCAAGCGAAGACAUUAGGAAACUUUUGUCGUCUCACAAGGACGGUUGGACAGGUGAUGCAUGGCCGUCGUCAGUUCGUGGUUUGAAUUGUUCCCUUAAGUGGGGUAACGAACGCAACCCUCGUUGGCUGUUACAAGUGUCAGCCGAGACUGCCCUAGAUUUUGGAUGCGAAAUAUCGUCUCUAAAAUCUAGGGAGGAAGGCGAGGAUGACGCCAGGUCAGCAUGUCCCUUUGAUAUCCUGGGCUACACACAUAAUACAAUCGCACCUACAACGCGACGCAAAACCGCAAGGUAGAGCAAAUCGUAAGAAAAGGUGCGCCAGUUCGGAUUGAGGUCUGCAACUCGACCUCAUGAAGCCGGAAUUGCUAGUAAUCGCGGGUCAGCUAUACCGCGGUGAAUACGUUCUCAAGUCUUGUACACACCGCCCGU
RNAcentral lists this ribosomal RNA (517 nucleotides) under uncultured bacterium. RNAcentral's name for it is "partial 16S ribosomal RNA". It matches the Rfam family "Bacterial small subunit ribosomal RNA", at positions 899 to 1397 of the family's 1533-position model. The record is from RNAcentral.